Molecule: ribosomal RNA, 492 nt
Filed under: uncultured bacterium
Lineage: Bacteria
Description: partial 16S ribosomal RNA
Rfam family: Bacterial small subunit ribosomal RNA
Source: RNAcentral
AUUGAACGCUGGCGGCAUGCCUUACACAUGCAAGUCGAACGGUAACAGGCCUUCGGGUGCUGACGAGUGGCGAACGGGUGAGUAAUGCAUCGGAACGUGCCCAGAGGUGGGGGAUAACGCAGCGAAAGCUGUGCUAAUACCGCAUGUGAUCUGAGGAUGAAAGCGGGGGACCAGGCAGCAAUGUUUGGCCUCGCGCCUUUGGAGCGGCCGAUGUCAGAUUAGGUAGUUGGUGGGGUAAAGGCCUACCAAGCCGACGAUCUGUAGCUGGUCUGAGAGGACGACCAGCCACACUGGGACUGAGACACGGCCCAGACUCCUACGGGAGGCAGCAGUGGGGAAUUUUGGACAAUGGGCGCAAGCCUGAUCCAGCAAUGCCGCGUGCGGGAAGAAGGCCUUCGGGUUGUAAACCGCUUUUGUACGGAACGAAAAGGCUCUGGCUAAUACCUGGGGCUGAUGACGGUACCGUAAGAAUAAGCACCGGCUAACUACGUG